Molecule: long non-coding RNA, 1163 nt
Filed under: Microcebus murinus (gray mouse lemur)
Lineage: Eukaryota; Metazoa; Chordata; Mammalia; Primates; Cheirogaleidae
Description: lncRNA (ENSMICG00000048516.1)
Source: RNAcentral
CACAGCCCCUAGGGCCAGCCUCUCAGGACACAGAGCAGGGCAGGAAAGAGUUGUGGGGAGGUGGAGAGAACAGAAGAGGCCGGCAGCCCCCCUGGGAAUCGCUGCUGCCCAGCACACUUGCCGCCUGAAGCCAGAGUGCGUUGGGGACAGGGCAGGGCCUGGAGGGACAGCAGGACUCGCUGUUCUGGGCAAGGGCUCACUUGCGUCCUUUCUGGCCUGCAGUCUCCGUGAGCAUCAACAACCUGUACCCGGGCUGCGAGAACGUGAGCGUGAGGAGCCGCAGCAUGAUGUUCGAGCCGGGCCUCACCAAAGGGAUGCUGGAGGUGUUCAUGGCCCCGUCCCACCACCCGCACUGCUCGGCCGAUGACCAGUCCACCAAGGCCAUCGACAUCCAGAACGCCUAUUUGAACGGAGUUGGCGAUUUCAGCGUGUGGGAGUUCUCUGGAAAUCCUGUGUACUUCUGCUGUUAUGACUAUUUCGCUGCAAAUGAUCCCACGUCAAUCCAUGUCAUUGUUUUUAGUCUAGAAGAGCCCUAUGAGAUCCAGCUGAACCAAGUGAUUUUCUGGCUCAGUUUCCUGAAGUCCCUCGUCCCAGUCGAAGAACCCAUAGGUGAGCUAAGUGCCCGUGGGCGAGGGAGUGUCCUUCCUGCUGCCGGCGGGCAUCGCCUCCUCCCUCCAGGCUCCUGCGCUGCUCCUGCCGCUGGUGCAGGCCUUGCACCCCGGCCGCGUGCAGAUCCCACAGCUGUGGCUCCUCCUGCUAGGAAACUUCCAGUCUGGAAAGCUUCCUGGGGCUCAGCCAUUCAGUGUUCUGUAGAAAGAUUUUGUAUCACGAUUGUGUGUUCCUGCCUCAAAGGCCCGAUUCCGAGCCAGUUAUUUAGAGCCAUUUCUCAGAUCCUUUCUACGCUUUCGAGCUGUGGUCAUUUUGUUGGGUGCAGAAUGGAAUCCCUGCUCAGAUGGCUGCUGCCCCUUUGCCUAAAGGGAACAGAAUUAAUCAGCAGAAGGAGCUCUCCUUCCUCCUGCAGGUCCGUCAAGAACUGAUGAGACAGGCCGGUGUUGCCUGAAUGUGUUAUCUUAGCUUCGUUCCUAGAGGAGAGGACGACAUGGAAUAAACUUCUUUUGUUCUUCACAUACAACAAGAGAAGCAGCCUUCCCUGGUGAAAUGCA